This 156-nucleotide non-coding RNA is filed under the name uncultured Blautia sp. Lineage: Bacteria; Bacillati; Bacillota; Clostridia; Lachnospirales; Lachnospiraceae. The record is from RNAcentral.
AAGGUCUUCUUUUGCGGGGAAAGAGGGAAUUGGGUGAAAGUCCCAAACGAUCUCGUCACUGUAUUUGAAGAGCGCAGGUCAUUUUCGAGUCACUGACUGCUGUUGGGAAGGCUGUCCUGCGCGAAGACUCAUCAGUCAGGAAACCUGCCCGGAUCU